AUAAAGGGUAAUGUUGCCUGUUGGAAUUUGUGAUUUUUCACGGCAUUACCCUAUGGUUGAAUAAUUAGCUCUUUUAGCUGGUUGCUUCUGUUAUGAGGUACGGCUAACAUGGCAUGCGUGGCCAUAUUAUUAAUCUGGCAUUCUUCUCUUAGUUUUAAGUUUGGUUGAAAUUGUUCAGUUGGUCUAUUUUCUCUAUAAUAGUUGUUUAAUGUUUUAUAUUUGAUUUGGCCAGUGAGAAUGCUUAGAGAAGAAU
RNAcentral lists this unclassified non-coding RNA (253 nucleotides) under Hevea brasiliensis (rubber tree). The record is from RNAcentral. Lineage: Eukaryota; Viridiplantae; Streptophyta; Magnoliopsida; Malpighiales; Euphorbiaceae.